ACAAUUAAUUGGAAUUAUUGUAUUUUUGUCAACUGUUAAUUUAAUUAAGGACGACUGUGGAUUGAUCAGAUGAAAGAGUUUUUUAGUGAUUAUUUAUGUUUGAUUUCCCAAAUUUUGUAGGGUAACAGUAGUGAUGAUGUGCACAUGAUCAGUGAUGAACGCAUGCAUGCAUGUAAAGUUGCAUUUAACUUUGGUGAAGAAAGGUCUCCUUGCCGUAUGAUUAGCUUAGUUUCUUUUCCAAGGAACUGUGGCAAGAAAAGGGAGCAAGAAAGCGAUCCUACUGCAGCAGCAAAUUAUCUAUAAAUGAAGUGUUUCCAUCAAUGCCUCCUGCAAAUGCAGAUAUGAUGAUGAAGAUGGCUUUGAAAUUCUGAUGGAGAUCUCAUGGCCACAUGCAUGCCCAACCAUUGAAAAAGGCCCCGGACUAGCUAGCUAGCUGCAUGCAGGAUUUGCAGGUUUUCAAAAACAUAUUUGAAAUAUAAAACUUUCGAGUAUGAUUAUAUAUAUAUGUGUGUGUGUGUGUGUGUGUGUGUGUGUGUGUGUGUGACGUACAUGAUAAGCACCAUGUAUGCAUUAGAGAUUAAUAACAAGCACAUAUUGAAACCUUCAAAAAGCCCGUUUGCAAA
Non-coding RNA from Oryza sativa Japonica Group (Japanese rice), 623 nucleotides. NCBI's taxonomy places the organism in Eukaryota, Viridiplantae, Streptophyta, Magnoliopsida, Poales, Poaceae. The record is from RefSeq and is a predicted model, not a curated record.